Ostrinia nubilalis (European corn borer) is the source of this 354-nucleotide long non-coding RNA. RefSeq lists it as uncharacterized. The transcript is spliced from 2 exons. NCBI's taxonomy places the organism in Eukaryota, Metazoa, Arthropoda, Insecta, Lepidoptera, Crambidae. The record is from RefSeq and is a predicted model, not a curated record.
CUUGCAAAUAAACCCAUCAAGCAGAGGCGGUACACACAAACAAAAGGUGGACUCUUUGGUUUUUUAAAACGGAGCCCGAAAGCGUAUGAGCUAUUGCGCCACAUAUUUAUUUUGCCUAGUCAACGAUCAAGAAAAUGAAGGUAUUGAGUGAAAAAACUGCCGCAAUGAUACAGCCCCAAAUUUGAUUCCGGCCCAGUGUAUAGUUUUUUUAACUAAAGUUUUUUGUUAUUUUUGCCUCAAGAAUGUACUUAUUGUGAAUUUCUUUGUUAAUGGCUGUAUAGUUUUACUUGAGUCAAAGAAAAUCGUAGUUGUUGUAUAAAAAAAUAAUUUAUAAAUCUAUUAGGGUACAUUUUA